RNAcentral lists this long non-coding RNA (1591 nucleotides) under Pongo abelii (Sumatran orangutan). Its description in RNAcentral is "lincRNA". Lineage: Eukaryota; Metazoa; Chordata; Mammalia; Primates; Hominidae. The record is from RNAcentral.
AAGAUCAACCCUCCCCCAUGGGCUCCUGCCUGCCUGCCAGGUUUUCCUGUCUCCUGGAGGACAAGGAUGAGGGCUUUCCACUUGAGUCUCCCUUGUGGAGCCCAGCUCCUGACAUACCUGGUGAAAGUUCUCAAGAGAAGAACAUGGAGGAGGAAUGUGGAUAACAACCCUGGCUGCCUGCAUGUUCCGAGCUAGGAAGAUGUAAUGUCCCCACAAAUGGGGUAAAUGGCUUGCCUGCGCCACAGCUCUGUCUCAAGCCCAGGCCCUGGGUGCCAGCCCGAGCCCGAGGACUAGGUCCAGAGCCACACAGCGCCAGGCCACAUCCGCCUCACCUGGGACCCUUUGUGGGGUACAGUCUCUGGCCCCACCCAGACCUGCUGAGUGAGAGACCCCAUGGCAGGACUCAGCCACCUGCAGUUUCACAAGCCCCCAGUGGGUUCCUAGGCAUGAAGACCACCCGUUAGAGGCUGAAGUGGCAGGAACCUGUCUCCAGCCCCUCCUCACCCCAGCCUGGUGCUGCCUCAGAGGCGGCACCCAGGACGUGGCCAUGACCCAUGGACUCCACUCAAUCCCUCUUCUCCAGGAGCCAUGCAAAGUGUCAGCCAGCCAGGCCCCCGGAAGGCAGUCGUCACCUCUAAGGCAUUGCAGUUGUCAGUCCUGCAGCUGCCAGGUGCCAGCACAUGGCCCAUGUCCGGUGUUCGAUAGCAGGGAGCCAUGACCUGGCAAUAAUUCCACGCUCAAAAGGGCACCCGGGGGGGCCCUGGCGUUGGGGCGGGUCAGCUUUGCCAGGCACAUCUGCCUCAUUCCAGAUCUCCAGGGCUCAUAUCUGUGACAGGGAGGGAAGGCUCUGCCCUGGCCUUCCAUCAGCUCCGCCAGUGCAGGCUGGGCAGCCUGGGCUUUAGAGCUGGCUUCUGCCCACACUUUCUCUGUGAAAGGAAAACAACGCUGAGGCUGCCAAACGCAUCUCAGAUGCGUUGUAAAAAAUUCUGAUCCCCUCUCUGUCCCAUCGUCCGCCUCGGGGACCUCCUGUCUCCUGGUUCUCACCCCACACUCUGUCACUGCCACAUUUUCACCUGGGCCUGGCCUUUGUCUCCACCUGAAACUCCUGAAAAUCUUGAAAUGGAUUUCUAGGUCCCUGGGGACUCCGGCAGCACAUUCAGCUUCAGAAUAAAGGGUGCCCGCGGUCCCCCAGCACCUGCCCAAGCUUCCCUCCGUAUCCCUGCAGCCCGAGGGUCCCUUCAGCCACCCCUAAGUCCCCACCUGGGCUCCUGCCCCGCCCCUGGCUAGCAGCACCUUCUCCACCGGGGCCCCUCUGUUCACAGAGCCCCCUCACCUCCCUGGGGAUGAGGGGCCAGACCAUGACCCUGAAGCCUAACCCUGGCCUUGACCUCCCCGGAGCGCCCUCCCCCGGCCUCGGCCCCGGCCCAGUCCUCUGCUGCUGGCCUCUGGGUCGUGCCCCGCAGACUGAGCUGCGCCUGGGGGUCCUGGCGGCCUGGGCCGUCCCGCACCGAACCCAGGUGGUCGGAGCCGGGCGGGGAUGCGUGAGGUCCUUCUGGGGGCUCCUCCGACCCAUUCUCGAGUCGCCUGAGGG